Long non-coding RNA from Thalassophryne amazonica, 348 nucleotides. RefSeq lists it as uncharacterized. The transcript has 3 exons. Lineage: Eukaryota; Metazoa; Chordata; Actinopteri; Batrachoidiformes; Batrachoididae. The record is from RefSeq and is a predicted model, not a curated record.
GUACUGAAUUAGAUUUCAAAAUAGGCUUAUUGUUACUAUAGAAGUUGAAUAUAAACUUGGGCUCAAGCAACAUUUGGAGCCAAAUUUCAAGUCUCUAGGUACAGUGGUUCUCAAAAUAUGAUAUUUUCGUCGAUAUUUUCGGUGAUUUUUGAACCCGAUAUCUUCAUUGGCUCUGUCCAUGUGCGUUUUUGGAACCAAAUGACCCAAAAUUUAUCCUGCUGUGGUUUAUUCUGUGUAUAUUUCCAUAUUCCAUGCAAACAUUUAUAGAUUUCCAAAUUUUUUGAAAUAACACCCCUCCCUAUUACUAUCCAACAUUAACAUUAACAUUUUUAUUGAUGUAUGUUUCUU